RNAcentral lists this ribosomal RNA (156 nucleotides) under Orbilia polybrocha. RNAcentral's name for it is "5.8S ribosomal RNA". It matches the Rfam family "5.8S ribosomal RNA". From Rfam's summary of the family: 5.8S ribosomal RNA (5.8S rRNA) is a component of the large subunit of the eukaryotic ribosome. The record is from RNAcentral. Lineage: Eukaryota; Fungi; Ascomycota; Orbiliomycetes; Orbiliales; Orbiliaceae.
AACUUUCAACAACGGAUCUCUUGGUUCCCGCAUCGAUGAAGAACGCAGCGAAACGCGAUAGUUAAUGUGAAUUGCAGAAUUCAGUGAAUCAUCGAGUCUGUGAACGCAUAUUGCGCCCAUUGGUAUUCCAUUGGGCAUGUCUGUUUGAGCGUCAUU